Molecule: ribosomal RNA, 1362 nt
Filed under: uncultured bacterium
Lineage: Bacteria
Description: 16S ribosomal RNA
Rfam family: Bacterial small subunit ribosomal RNA
Source: RNAcentral
GAUGAACGCUAGCGACAGGCUUAACACAUGCAAGUCGAGGGGCAGCAGGGGAGUAGCAAUACUCCCGCUGGCGACCGGCGCACGGGUGAGUAACACGUAUGCAACCUGCCCUUGUCAGGGGGAUAAGCGGAAGAAAUUCCGUCUAAUACCGCAUAAUGCUGCGGGGAGACAUCUCCCUGCAGCCAAAGAUUUAUCGGACAAGGAUGGGCAUGCGGCGCAUUAGCUGGUUGGCGGGGUAACGGCCCACCAAGGCGACGAUGCGUAGGGGUUCUGAGAGGAAGGUCCCCCACACUGGUACUGAGACACGGACCAGACUCCUACGGGAGGCAGCAGUGAGGAAUAUUGGUCAAUGGCCGGGAGGCUGAACCAGCCAAGUCGCGUGAGGGAAGACGGUCCUAUGGAUUGUAAGCCUCUUUUGUCAGGGAGCAAAAACUGCCACGCGUGGCAGGAUGAGAGUACCUGAAGAAAAAGCAUCGGCUAACUCCGUGCCAGCAGCCGCGGUAAUACGGAGGAUGCGAGCGUUAUCCGGAUUUAUUGGGUUUAAAGGGUGCGUAGGCGGACAGUUAAGUCAGCGGUAAAAUUGAGAGGCUCAACCUCUUCCCGCCGUUGAAACUGAUUGUCUUGAGUGGGCGAGAAGUAUGCGGAAUGCGUGGUGUAGCGGUGAAAUGCAUAGAUAUCACGCAGAACUCCGAUUGCGAAGGCAGCAUACCGGCGCCCAACUGACGCUGAAGCACGAAAGCGUGGGUAUCGAACAGGAUUAGAUACCCUGGUAGUCCACGCAGUAAACGAUGAAUACUAAUUGUUCGGGUCAAAUGAGAUCUGAGUGAUACAGCGAAAGCGUUAAGUAUUCCACCUGGGGAGUACGCCGGCAACGGUGAAACUCAAAGGAAUUGACGGGGGCCCGCACAAGCGGAGGAACAUGUGGUUUAAUUCGAUGAUACGCGAGGAACCUUACCCGGGCUCAAACGACACAGGAAUGAUCUGAGAAAUCAGGCAGUCCUCCGGGACCUGUGUCGAGGUGCUGCAUGGUUGUCGUCAGCUCGUGCCGUGAGGUGUCGGCUUAAGUGCCAUAACGAGCGCAACCCCCAUCGACAGUUGCCAGCAGGUGAAGCUGGGCACUCUGUCGAGACUGCCGGCGCAAGCUGUGAGGAAGGCGGGGAUGACGUCAAAUCAGCACGGCCCUUACGUCCGGGGCGACACACGUGUUACAAUGGCAGGUACAGCGGGAAGCCACCUGGCGACAGGGAGCGGAACCCGAAAGCCUGUCUCAGUUCGGAUUGGAGUCUGCAACUCGACUCCAUGAAGCUGGAUUCGCUAGUAAUCGCGCAUCAGCCACGGCGCGGUGAAUACGUUCCCGGGCCU